This 606-nucleotide non-coding RNA is filed under the name Oryza barthii. Lineage: Eukaryota; Viridiplantae; Streptophyta; Magnoliopsida; Poales; Poaceae. The record is from RNAcentral.
GCUGAAGGAAGAUUGCUCCACUGUUGACUGCAUUAGGAUUCAAUCCUUGCUGCUAAAUGUAUUGCUUAUAUUCAGCAAUAUAAUGUUCAGCAGCAAGAACUGGAUCUUAAUAUAGUCGAUAGUGGAAGAACGGUAACAUAUGUGGUUUGCAGCAGGUGAGCAGGAUGGGUGUGGAUGAUUGAAUAUCUCUGUUCAGUGUUUUCAUCAUCUGACUGAACACUGAAUCAGCUUGCUGACGUUAGAGGUUUCAGUUUACCUAAUUUAUGGUCUGUACCCAUGAAAAGUGGGAAAAGGCUGAAGAAUUCGAUUUCUUUCUUUCUUUCAAUGUUGAGCACAGCUACACAGGCAUCCAACCCAACAUCAUGUUGUUCAACAUGAUAUUUGUCUGCCUAUGCAAGAAGACCAGGGCUUUGGAAGCCUAAAAAGUCUUCGACCAGAUAGGAUCUUAGGGUAUGAAACCCGACGCGUUCUCGUGUGCUGCAUAUUGUUUAGCUUGUAAGAUAGAUGAAGUAACCUGACCUAUAAUCAGUUAAAUGCCCUACAAUCUUGAAUUAUUGAUUUAUUUAUGGCUUCAGCUUUCAGUAACAGGGCUUUUAUUACUGUAAC